Molecule: ribosomal RNA, 253 nt
Filed under: uncultured bacterium
Lineage: Bacteria
Description: partial 16S ribosomal RNA
Rfam family: Bacterial small subunit ribosomal RNA
Source: RNAcentral
UACGGGGGGGGCAAGCGUUGUUCGGAAUUACUGGGCGUAAAGGGCUCGUAGGCGGCCAACUAAGUCCGACGUGAAAUCCCCAGGCUUAACCUGGGAACUGCGUCGGAUACUGGAUGGCUUGAAUCCGGGAGAGGGAUGCGGAAUUCCAGGUGUAGCGGUGAAAUGCGUAGAUAUCGUAAGGAAGACCAGUGGCGAAGGCGGGUCUCUGGACAGUUCCUGACGCUGAGACGCGAAAGCGUGGGGAGCGAACAGG